CUUUACUGUAGCCUGGAAUUGGGUUCGGGCUUUGACUGCGCGGGAUAGGUGGGAGACUAUGAGACAUCCCUUGUGGGGGAUGUGGAGUCAUCAGUGAGAUACCACUCUGUCAAGGCUAGAAUUCUAACUCAUUGCCGUGAUCCGGCAUGGGAACAGUUUCAGGUGGGCAGUUUGACUGGGGCGGUCGCCUCCUAAACGAUAACGGAGGCGCACAAAGGUUCCCUCAGGCUGGUUGGAAAUCAGCCGAAGAGUGUAAAGGCACAAGGGAGCUUGACUGUGAGACUGACAAGUCGAGCAGGGUGGAAACACGGUCUUAGUGAUCCGACGGCACUGAGUGGAAGGGCCGUCGCUCAACGGAUAAAAGUUA
This 367-nucleotide ribosomal RNA is filed under the name uncultured organism. RNAcentral describes it as "bacterial LSU rRNA". It matches the Rfam family "Bacterial large subunit ribosomal RNA", at positions 2099 to 2465 of the family's 2925-position model. The record is from RNAcentral.